This 234-nucleotide ribosomal RNA is filed under the name uncultured bacterium. RNAcentral describes it as "partial 16S ribosomal RNA". It matches the Rfam family "Bacterial small subunit ribosomal RNA", at positions 128 to 356 of the family's 1533-position model. The record is from RNAcentral.
GCCCAAGAGACUGGGAUAACACCUGGAAACAGAUGCUAAUACCGGAUAACAACACUAGACGCAUGUCUAGAGUUUAAAAGAUGGUUCUGCUAUCACUCUUGGAUGGACCUGCGGUGCAUUAGCUAGUUGGUAAGGCAACGGCUUACCAAGGCAAUGAUGCAUAGCCGAGUUGAGAGACUGAUCGGCCACAUUGGGACUGAGACACGGCCCAAACUCCUACGGGAGGCAGCAGCG